This 1021-nucleotide long non-coding RNA is filed under the name Zonotrichia albicollis (white-throated sparrow). RNAcentral describes it as "lncRNA (ENSZALG00000001849.1)". The record is from RNAcentral. Lineage: Eukaryota; Metazoa; Chordata; Aves; Passeriformes; Passerellidae.
GAAUAGAAUAGAAUAGAAUAGAAUAGAAUAGAAUAAGAAAGAAUGAUAACAAAGGUUUGUGGCUUGGGCUCUCUGUCUGAGCCAGCUGACUGUGAUUGGCCAUUAAUUAGAAACAACCACAUGAGACCAAUCGCAGAUGCACCUGUUGCAUUCCACAGCAGCAGAUAACCAUUGUUUGCAUUUUGUUCCUGAGGCUUCUCAGCUUCUCAGGAAGAAAAAAUCCCAAGAAAAGGAUUUUCCAUAAAAAGAUGUCUGUGACAGUGUGUGGAUGCUUUGAGGGGUCACACAGCUCUUGCACCACUGUCAGCCUUAACCUGCCUGUGGGCUCCUUAAAGGACAAUCUGGAGAUGGUUUGUCCCUCCUGCAUCUUCCUGUCACCCUCCUUGUCCCCAAGCAAUCCCUUGGGCUGAAUUUCCUGAUUACAGGGAGCUGCUCCCACAGGUUGGAUGGAUUCUCCAUUCUCUCCCCUCCCCAAAAUACUUAUUAAAAUGAAAUUUGGCAGAAGAAGACAAAGAUCUAGGAUAGUUUUUAAAUAUUAUGCCUAGCUGUUUUUACUGUAAAAGGAAUUCCAGGACUCUCAGGGAGUCUUUGCAGGGCAGGUUUAGCUGUCAUCAUUUUGAGUCACACCUGGAAGACUUUUGCAUUAAUUUUGUGGACAGAUUCUUAAAUUAAUAAUAAUAAUAAAUUAAUACAUUUUAAAUUAAAAUUGGGGAUAGAUGCUGCAUCCUGCUGCAUGCCAUGGUAGCACCUGCUCAUGGGGUGCCAACCCUCACCUCCCUGGGGUCACCAGUGUGUGAUUGUCGGGGCACUGGGAUGGUGCAUUGGUGUCACCCUCACUCCUCCUCCUCACCUUCACCCAGGCAAAGCUCUGAAAUGCCACAAAUGUGUGGCAUCCAACGAGAACGAGUGCAACCAGCAGGGAUCCCACAGCUGCCCCCAGUACGCCGACGCCUGCUCCACCAUCACUGCACCCAACAGCAUCAUCAAAUCCUGCUCCUACAAAUCCUUCUGUGACCAGGCC